GAAUUGUUCACAAUGGGCGCAAGCCUGAUGACGCAACGCCGCGUGGGGGAUGAAGGUCUUCGGAUUGUAAACCCCUGACGAAUGGGACGAAAAACUCGCGAUCUAACAUGUCGCGGGAUUGAGGGUACCGUUAAAGGAAGCCACGGCUAACCAUGUGCCAGCAGCCGCGGUAAGACAGAGGUGGCAAGCGUUGUUCGGAAUUACUGGGCGUAAAGGGCGCGUAGGCGGCCAUCUAAGUCAGACGUGAAAUCCCCCGGCUUAACCUGGGAACUGCGUCUGAUACUGGACGGCUAGAGUAUGGGAGAGGGAUGUAGAAUUCCAGGUGUAGCGGUGAAAUGCGUAGAUAUCUGGAGGAAUACCGGUGGCGAAGGCGGCAUCCUGGACCAUUUACUGACGCUGAGGCGCGAAAGCUAGGGGAGCAAACGGG
This 427-nucleotide ribosomal RNA is filed under the name uncultured bacterium. RNAcentral's name for it is "bacterial SSU rRNA". It matches the Rfam family "Bacterial small subunit ribosomal RNA", at positions 359 to 776 of the family's 1533-position model. The record is from RNAcentral.